This 430-nucleotide ribosomal RNA is filed under the name uncultured bacterium. Its description in RNAcentral is "bacterial SSU rRNA". It matches the Rfam family "Bacterial small subunit ribosomal RNA", at positions 354 to 796 of the family's 1533-position model. The record is from RNAcentral.
GUGGGGAAUAUUGCACAAUGGGCGAAAGCCUGAUGCAGCAACGCCGCGUGAGGGACGACGGCCUUCGGGUUGUAAACCUCUUUUAGUAGGGAAGAAGCGAAAGUGACGGUACCUGCAGAAAAAGCACCGGCUAACUACGUGCCAGCAGCCGCGGUAAUACGUAGGGUGCAAGCGUUGUCCGGAAUUAUUGGGCGUAAAGAGCUCGUAGGCGGUUUGUCGCGUCUGCUGUGAAAACCCGAGGCUCAACCUCGGGCCUGCAGUGGGUACGGGCAGACUAGAGUGCGGUAGGGGAGAUUGGAAUUCCUGGUGUAGCGGUGGAAUGCGCAGAUAUCAGGAGGAACACCGAUGGCGAAGGCAGAUCUCUGGGCCGUAACUGACGCUGAGGAGCGAAAGCGUGGGGAGCGAACAGGAUUAGAAACCCCUGUAGUCC